UACGUAGGGUGCAAGCGUUGUCCGGAAUUAUUGGGCGUAAAGAGCUCGUAGGCGGUUUGUUGCGUCGGCUGUGAAAUCCCGAGGCUCAACCUCGGGUCUGCAGUCGAUACGAGCAAACUAGAGUGUUGCAGGGGAGACUGGAAUUCCUGGUGUAGCGGUGAAAUGCGCAGAUAUCAGGAGGAACACCGGUGGCGAAGGCGGGUCUCUGGGCAACAACUGACGCUGGAGGAGCGAAAGCCGUGGGGAGCGAACAGGA
Molecule: ribosomal RNA, 256 nt
Filed under: uncultured bacterium
Lineage: Bacteria
Description: partial 16S ribosomal RNA
Rfam family: Bacterial small subunit ribosomal RNA
Source: RNAcentral